CUAUUAGGUUGGUACAAAAGCAAUCAUGGCUUCUGCCAUUACUUUAAUAGCAAAAAACGCAAUUACUUUUGCACCAACCUAAUAUUU
RNAcentral lists this microRNA precursor (87 nucleotides) under Chlorocebus sabaeus (green monkey). RNAcentral's name for it is "miRNA (ENSCSAG00000023957.1)". The record is from RNAcentral. Lineage: Eukaryota; Metazoa; Chordata; Mammalia; Primates; Cercopithecidae.